RNAcentral lists this ribosomal RNA (497 nucleotides) under uncultured bacterium. RNAcentral's name for it is "partial 16S ribosomal RNA". It matches the Rfam family "Bacterial small subunit ribosomal RNA", at positions 28 to 507 of the family's 1533-position model. The record is from RNAcentral.
GAUGAACGCUGGCGGCGUGCCUAAUACAUGCAAGUCGAGCGAACGGACGAGAAGCUUGCUUCUCUGAUGUUAGCGGCGGACGGGUGAGUAACACGUGGAUAACCUACCUAUAAGACUGGGAUAUCUUCGGGAAACCGGAGCUAAUACCGGAUAAUAUUUUGAACCGCAUGGUUCAAAAGUGAAAGACGGUCUUGCUGUCACUUAUAGAUGGAUCCGCGCUGCAUUAGCUAGUUGGUAAGGUAACGGCUUACCAAGGCAACGAUGCAUAGCCGACCUGAGAGGGUGAUCGGCCACACUGGAACUGAGACACGGUCCAGACUCCUACGGGAGGCAGCAGUAGGGAAUCUUCCGCAAUGGGCGAAAGCCUGACGGAGCAACGCCGCGUAAGUGAUGAAGGUCUUCGGAUCGUAAAACUCUGUUAUUAGGGAAGAACAUAUGUGUAAGUAACUGUGCACAUCUUGACGGUACCUAAUCAGAAAGCCACGGCUAACUACGUG